UUAAGCGACUAAGCGUACACGGUGGAUGCCCUGGCAGUCAGAGGCGAUGAAGGACGUGCUAAUCUGCGAUAAGCGUCGGUAAGGUGAUAUGAACCGUUAUAACCGGCGAUUUCCGAAUGGGGAAACCCAGUGUGUUUCGACACACUAUCAUUAACUGAAUCCAUAGGUUAAUGAGGCGAACCGGGGGAACUGAAACAUCUAAGUACCCCGAGGAAAAGAAAUCAACCGAGAUUCCCCCAGUAGCGGCGAGCGAACGGGGAGCAGCCCAGAGCCUGAAUCAGUGUGUGUGUUAGUGGAAGCGUCUGGAAAGGCGCGCGAUACAGGGUGACAGCCCCGUACACAAAAAUGCACAUGCUGUGAGCUCGAUGAGUAGGGCGGGACACGUGGUAUCCUGUCUGAAUAUGGGGGGACCAUCCUCCAAGGCUAAAUACUCCUGACUGACCGAUAGUGAACCAGUACCGUGAGGGAAAGGCGAAAAGAACCCCGGCGAGGGGAGUGAAAAAGAACCUGAAACCGUGUACGUACAAGCAGUGGGAGCACGCUUCGGCGUGUGACUGCGUACCUUUUGUAUAAUGGGUCAGCGACUUAUAUUCUGUAGCAAGGUUAACCGAAUAGGGGAGCCGAAGGGAAACCGAGUCUUAACUGGGCGUUAAGUUGCAGGGUAUAGACCCGAAACCCGGUGAUCUAGCCAUGGGCAGGUUGAAGGUUGGGUAACACUAACUGGAGGACCGAACCGACUAAUGUUGAAAAAUUAGCGGAUGACUUGUGGCUGGGGGUGAAAGGCCAAUCAAACCGGGAGAUAGCUGGUUCUCCCCGAAAGCUAUUUAGGUAGCGCCUCGUGAAUUCAUCUCCGGGGGUAGAGCACUGUUUCGGCAAGGGGGUCAUCCCGACUUACCAACCCGAUGCAAACUGCGAAUACCGGAGAAUGUUAUCACGGGAGACACACGGCGGGUGCUAACGUCCGUCGUGAAGAGGGAAACAACCCAGACCGCCAGCUAAGGUCCCAAAGUCAUGGUUAAGUGGGAAACGAUGUGGGAAGGCCCAGACAGCCAGGAUGUUGGCUUAGAAGCAGCCAUCAUUUAAAGAAAGCGUAAUAGCUCACUGGUCGAGUCGGCCUGCGCGGAAGAUGUAACGGGGCUAAACCAUGCACCGAAGCUGCGGCAGCGACACUAUGUGUUGUUGGGUAGGGGAGCGUUCUGUAAGCCUGUGAAGGUGUGCUGUGAGGCAUGCUGGAGGUAUCAGAAGUGCGAAUGCUGACAUAAGUAACGAUAAAGCGGGUGAAAAGCCCGCUCGCCGGAAGACCAAGGGUUCCUGUCCAACGUUAAUCGGGGCAGGGUGAGUCGACCCCUAAGGCGAGGCCGAAAGGCGUAGUCGAUGGGAAACAGGUUAAUAUUCCUGUACUUGGUGUUACUGCGAAGGGGGGACGGAGAAGGCUAUGUUGGCCGGGCGACGGUUGUCCCGGUUUAAGCGUGUAGGCUGGUUUUCCAGGCAAAUCCGGAAAAUCAAGGCUGAGGCGUGAUGACGAGGCACUACGGUGCUGAAGCAACAAAUGCCCUGCUUCCAGGAAAAGCCUCUAAGCAUCAGGUAACAUCAAAUCGUACCCCAAACCGACACAGGUGGUCAGGUAGAGAAUACCAAGGCGCUUGAGAGAACUCGGGUGAAGGAACUAGGCAAAAUGGUGCCGUAACUUCGGGAGAAGGCACGCUGAUAUGUAGGUGAAGUCCCUCGCGGAUGGAGCUGAAAUCAGUCGAAGAUACCAGCUGGCUGCAACUGUUUAUUAAAAACACAGCACUGUGCAAACACGAAAGUGGACGUAUACGGUGUGACGCCUGCCCGGUGCCGGAAGGUUAAUUGAUGGGGUUAGCGCAAGCGAAGCUCUUGAUCGAAGCCCCGGUAAACGGCGGCCGUAACUAUAACGGUCCUAAGGUAGCGAAAUUCCUUGUCGGGUAAGUUCCGACCUGCACGAAUGGCGUAAUGAUGGCCAGGCUGUCUCCACCCGAGACUCAGUGAAAUUGAACUCGCUGUGAAGAUGCAGUGUACCCGCGGCAAGACGGAAAGACCCCGUGAACCUUUACUAUAGCUUGACACUGAACAUUGAGCCUUGAUGUGUAGGAUAGGUGGGAGGCUUUGAAGUGUGGACGCCAGUCUGCAUGGAGCCGACCUUGAAAUACCACCCUUUAAUGUUUGAUGUUCUAACGUUGACCCGUAAUCCGGGUUGCGGACAGUGUCUGGUGGGUAGUUUGACUGGGGCGGUCUCCUCCUAAAGAGUAACGGAGGAGCACGAAGGUUGGCUAAUCCUGGUCGGACAUCAGGAGGUUAGUGCAAUGGCAUAAGCCAGCUUGACUGCGAGCGUGACGGCGCGAGCAGGUGCGAAAGCAGGUCAUAGUGAUCCGGUGGUUCUGAAUGGAAGGGCCAUCGCUCAACGGAUAAAAGGUACUCCGGGGAUAACAGGCUGAUACCGCCCAAGAGUUCAUAUCGACGGCGGUGUUUGGCACCUCGAUGUCGGCUCAUCACAUCCUGGGGCUGAAGUAGGUCCCAAGGGUAUGGCUGUUCGCCAUUUAAAGUGGUACGCGAGCUGGGUUUAGAACGUCGUGAGACAGUUCGGUCCCUAUCUGCCGUGGGCGCUGGAGAAUUGAGGGGGGCUGCUCCUAGUACGAGAGGACCGGAGUGGACGCAUCACUGGUGUUCGGGUUGUCAUGCCAAUGGCACUGCCCGGUAGCUAAAUGCGGAAGAGAUAAGUGCUGAAAGCAUCUAAGCACGAAACUUGCCCCGAGAUGAGUUCUCCCUGACCCUUUAAGGGUCCUGAAGGAACGUUGAAGACGACGACGUUGAUAGGCCGGGUGUGUAAGCGCAGCGAUGCGUUGAGCUAACCGGUACUAAUGAACCGUGAGGCUUAACCUU
This 2901-nucleotide ribosomal RNA is filed under the name Escherichia coli. RNAcentral describes it as "bacterial LSU rRNA". It matches the Rfam family "Bacterial large subunit ribosomal RNA". Lineage: Bacteria; Pseudomonadati; Pseudomonadota; Gammaproteobacteria; Enterobacterales; Enterobacteriaceae. The record is from RNAcentral.